UACGUAGGGGGCAAGCGUUGUCCGGAUUUAUUGGGCGUAAAGCGCGCGCAGGCGGCUUACUAAGUCUGAUGUGAAAGCCCACGGCUCAACCGUGGAGGGCCAUUGGAAACUGGUAAGCUUGAGUGUAGGAGAGGAGAGCGGAAUUCCUGGUGUAGCGGUGAAAUGCGUAGAUAUCAGGAGGAACACCCGUGGCGAAGGCGGCUCUCUGGCCUAUAACUGACGCUGAGGCGCGAAAGCGUGGGGAGCAAACAGG
RNAcentral lists this ribosomal RNA (253 nucleotides) under uncultured bacterium. RNAcentral describes it as "partial 16S ribosomal RNA". It matches the Rfam family "Bacterial small subunit ribosomal RNA", at positions 524 to 776 of the family's 1533-position model. The record is from RNAcentral.